UUCAGCCUGGGGUGACAGAGCGAGACCCUGUCUCAAAAAAAUAAAAAAUAAAAAAAAGAAAUUAUUAGUUGUUGGCAAUAUGAUUCAAAAUAUAUUCUGUGACUUUUCUUGAUAUUGUUGAAUAUUUUAAAGAUUUGAAUUUAUGUGAAUAGGGUAAUAAAAACUCAACAUUUCUUCAAAUCAAAAAUUCAAAUGUAUAAAACAUGAUAUGUUCCAAACUCUUGAUCCGUGCUCCCAUUUUACUUUAAUAUAAAUGGUCAAGUCGGAAAGGGGAGUAAGAGAAAGGACUCUGCUUAAUGCUUUUUUGGUUCCAUUUAGUGUGUCAGAGACUUCCUUUUCUUUUGAUGUACUGGACAAUGCAGCAUUACUAUUUGCUAUUAAACCCUAUUAGAGAAAAACAUUUAAGGCAAUUAGCACAGUCUUAGCAUGUACAAAUGCGCAAUAAAUGUUGAAUGAAUUAAUCUCAUAGUUUCUACUUAGUCUUAUUCAAUUGUAUAAUGCAAAUAAGUGAGAGGACAGGAUCUGGGGUCAAACCUCAGUUUAAACUGAGGCUUAUUAUGGAAAAGUUCGCUUGCAAUUGCUUACUGAGAAUGUCAUCCAUGCCAUUAAAUUGGUACUUGCAGGAAUGUUUCCAGUAAUUAAACAGAAGCUGACGGGAUGGUUUCUUUAUUCAAGAUAAUUAAUUGUCUCUAGAGAAGGUGUGUUUCCAUGAGGUUAGAAAGAAGGCAGCUUCUUGAGGGCUUGAGUAGGGUUCGUUCAAAAGCAUUUACUUGCCAGGCAUUUCCCGCCACAGAAAUGAUUUACAAGAUAACUUCAUAGAGAUCUUUUCCUAGUAGCCAAGAAAAAAAACAGCCUCUGGGAAAAAACCCAAAACCAAAGCUUUCUAGCUGGCUUGAGCAUGAGGAAAGGAGUUGCCACCUUUCCGGAUGCCAUUUCCACAGCAGAGUGGUAGGAAAGCAGAAAUGGAAAGCAAAACGUCUCACUCCUAGACAUGUGAGUUGGCUUCCUGGCCAAUGGAAAAGGAUAAACAAUGAGGCAGGGCCUGUGACCUUGUGGGUGAAACUGGGCAUGAAUGCAACUCUCUGAAUCCACGGCGAGCCUGGAGAGCUUAGCUUAGAAAUGGACAGAAACGAAGGGCAGGCGAGUGAAGCGGAGCUGACGUUGCACCUGAGGAACAGCCUUUGGAAAGAGCUGCUGCCUGGCAGCCGGUCACCACAGAACACUGGAACCACCACUGCUCCCCCAGCCUGGUAACAGCGGGUCCAGUGUUCCAGCCUGGGCAGUGUCCAGCUGGCAGGGCUGAGGUGGUUGCGCCCACAUCUCAGGCUGCAUGGUCCAGCGAGCUCAGGUGUUUGAUCUUUUUUCGUUACCAUGGUGAGAAGUGUGCUAGCGGGGAAAAAAGACAAAUGUAUCCCAUAGAUGAGUAUAUAUGGGGGCGAGGGGUUCUCCAUGAAAUGGUCCUCAUUGAUUUUUUUGUUUCAUUUGUUUUUAUGUUUUAUCUUGAUGGAGAAUUUGUGAUUUUCCUUCUCAGAAAAAUAGAGCUAUACUUACAUUUCAUAAUUUAUACUGCUGAUUUAUGCCACUGCGUUUUGACAGUUGUAUCAUAUCACCCAGCCUUCUCUUCUCCAGGAAGUGGUGUAUUCAUGGGUCCCCUGAGAUUCCAGCACUGCUUAUGAUGAGUGUAGAAAUUCUGUCUUGUCUGUCUUGCAGAAUGACAGAUUAGAAUAUGGCAUAGAUUCUUAAUGCUGUCUGUUGGGAAAACAAUAUUCUAAAGAUGAUUAGAAAGACAGUUUUAAUAUUAUGUGGAAUUCUGUUAUUACAUAUUACCAUUUAGAAAUACUACAGAGAAUUUAUAAUGAAAGCAUAAAAUAAUUGAAUGAGGUUUUUAAUAGUCCAUUAGAAAAUUGUUGAAAAUUUUUUCCUAAUUCCUUUAAGGGAAUUUUAUUAUAAUUGUCUUGAUUGUUGUUUCAAUCAAAUGGCAGUAGUGAAAAGGGCGAAAUUAUCAAGGCAGGGGGUAGGAGGAGGAGGCGCUGGGUAGGAUGCUCUGAUUUCUUAAGAAGAAUAGGAUAGCUGUAAAGAAACCAGACAUGAUUGCUUGAGAAUUUUCCUUUCAAAAUGAUAAUAUCACACUUUAUAUCAUUUAUGUAGCAUUUUUCCUAAUUUGACUUUUUAUCUGGCCAUGACUUUUAAAUUCAGUUAUAAAUAUUAAUUGCCUGAAGUGUUAUAAAAUCCAUUUUUAUUUGAGAGAUACUCACAAGCAAAAUUAUAUGCUGCAUUUCUCGUCUUAGCACUUCACUCUGAAGUGCAUACUUAAUGGUAGUUCAUUUUAGGUAUGUUAUUGAUUGGAUUACAUUUUUAAAAUGCAAAUGAGUAAGUGCGUUUAUGGAUGGCUGGGUUUUAUUUCUUUGCCAGUAUUUCUUCCUGGUAUCCUGAAGUUUCUCCUCAUGUGAAGUAUACAAUUAAGCAUUCCUGUCAUACUUAAAUUAAUUAGACCUUUUAUUCACUAGCAUUGCCACCCCAGAGGAACAGAGUGGUGCAGAGGAGUUCAUCAGCAAAAUAUACACUAAACAAUAAAAAAAAAAAACCUUUUUCUCUAAUUCUUUUGAAACAAAACAUCCAAAUAAUAAAAUAGUUUCUAGGUAGUUGUCUAUCUUCAUGAUCAUGUUAUAAAAGAUAUAAUCCUUAUAAAAAUAAGUUCAUAUUGUUUCAAAAAUUGUAUGUGAUUAUAAUUCAGUGAAAUUUGGGAAACCAGAAUGGCUUUGUCAUGAUUACCUAUUUUCUUAUGUACAGAUAAAAUUAAAUUCUGUCUCUGUGUUUACUGCA
RNAcentral lists this long non-coding RNA (2823 nucleotides) under Homo sapiens (human). Its description in RNAcentral is "HSALNT0345405". Lineage: Eukaryota; Metazoa; Chordata; Mammalia; Primates; Hominidae. The record is from RNAcentral.